CCCGAGCGAAAUAUGAGGUGCUGCUCCUCCAAUUUACGGUGGGAUUCACUCUGGCCAUGGAGGAGGCCCAGGACAGAAAGGUCGGAUUUGGAAUGGAAGGGGGAGUCGAAGUGCUGAGGCACCGGCAGAUCAGGUUGGUUAGUGCGGACUGAGA
This is a long non-coding RNA of Amblyraja radiata (thorny skate), 154 nucleotides long. RefSeq lists it as uncharacterized. The record is from RefSeq and is a predicted model, not a curated record. NCBI's taxonomy places the organism in Eukaryota, Metazoa, Chordata, Chondrichthyes, Rajiformes, Rajidae. The transcript has 3 exons.